This 549-nucleotide ribosomal RNA is filed under the name Triticum aestivum (bread wheat). RNAcentral describes it as "partial small subunit ribosomal RNA". The record is from RNAcentral. Lineage: Eukaryota; Viridiplantae; Streptophyta; Magnoliopsida; Poales; Poaceae.
AUGGCCUCUGCCCCUUUUGGCCGAACGACGUUGCCGCCGGCGUGCUCUGCCAGGAUCCGGUGGAUCUCGGCUUGCCCUGCGGCUCUGCCGCCCCGCCAUGUUCCCGGAGCCGCGGUGCCCUGCAUCGCGCCAAGUCCCGCGGCCGUCGCCCCUGCAUCGCGUCAAGUCCCUGCAUCGCGCCCCGUUGCUGUUGACGCCAAGUCCAAGGACCACCGAGCAUGGGAUUCGCCAAGUACCACUACCAAUGCCUUUGGAUUCGCCAAGUACACCACCGGCAAGACCACACGGAUGCUCGAACGAGUGCCGAACGAAACGCCAAGUCCCUCUUCUGGAUCUGUGUACGACCUUUGUAACGAUGUGCCAAGUACCUCUACGGGCGCACUGAAUGUCUACGAACCAUGCACGACUACAACGCGAACGGGUACCCGAUUGCCCCGAAGAACUCAGAUUCGUCAAGUCCCUCUCCAAGACGUGUACCACUACUUCCACUAUCGUCACCGUGUACCACUACUUCCACUACCAUCGCGAGAACGACUACUUCUACUAUGA